Xenia sp. Carnegie-2017 is the source of this 2028-nucleotide long non-coding RNA. RefSeq lists it as uncharacterized. The record is from RefSeq and is a predicted model, not a curated record. The transcript is spliced from 3 exons. NCBI's taxonomy places the organism in Eukaryota, Metazoa, Cnidaria, Anthozoa, Malacalcyonacea, Xeniidae.
AUUUACUGCGGCCCAGUUUUACUUGAUUCAAAGGCACGUCCAAAUAAUGAAUGAAACAAAUUUUCCAAUAGGAAGCUUGUUCAGAAAACUUUCAUAAGAUCAAAUGACCUUUUCAUUUUUUCUCCAACUGCAAUACAGGCCAUUGACGAAAAUUGAGGAAGAAACGAAAAUGUUACCUUUUUAAGACAGAUGAAAUUUUAUGUUUCAUUUGAACACCUGAACAUCGCUUAUGACAUGUCUUAUACGUGCUUUCAAGAGCAAUUCUAUCUCAUUGUAUUUGUGGAAAUUCCUUUCCACUAUAGAUAUAUGUUAUUUCAGUUCACUGAUGUUUAGCUGCGUGAAAUCAUUUAAAUAAAUUACAGUAAUAAAAUUUGCAUUUUUUAGAAAAAUGUUUACAAACUUACUUUUCACGUUUAAUCUUGAAGUAUAAAAGUGAAAGUUGUCUCUUUCUGGAAGUCGACGUUCGCUUGAUGCAGCUUGCACAAAACUGUCUUGAAAGAAUUUCAAAAUUGUAUGUACAUUCCAAAAGCAGAUAGCGUCAUUGGAAUAUUGUCUUCGUAAUAAUUCAUUUUUUAAUUAAAAAUUGAAGAAUAGCAUAAUAUGACGAUAAUUUAUCUUGCCAAAAAGCGAACAAAUCAACGCUCUUUCGUCUAAUUAUUUCCAGAUGAUUUGAAAGAUGCAGCUAAUUGGAAAUAGAGAUAUUUGUCUUCUAAAGCUUAAAGUAUCGCGUCAUCUCAUAAAUCCACAUUUCGUUACAACGUUGAGGUUAAUUAAAGUAUAUUUCAUUUCAUAUUGACAUUGAUAUUGCAAAUCUUGUUGAGUUUAACUAGCUAGCUAUAUAUGACCAAAUUUUUGAUGCAAACGCUACUUGAAUUGAACAAAUCCAUAAAUAAUUGUAGAUAGAUAGGAAGAUUAAUUUGUUGGGAUUAAUUAUACUCACGUUGGUUUUGUUGAAUGAAGUGAAUGAUUUUUAAAUCAAACAAUGAUAUUUUACAAAAGAACAGAGAAACAGUAAAUUUCUCCCUUUAAAUAGAUACUACGAUCAAGAGCUACAACGUGCUUGCUAUAAAAAGAUGAAAUGUUUUGUCUAAUUGUUUCCCUAAGUUCAAGAUUAUCGCAAAGUUAGCGGUUAUGUACAGAUGUCAAACCAACAUAUGCAAUGCUUAUAAGGCAGGUGUUCUUGCUAACAUUUUUCUUCAUAAAUAACAUUUGUGUUUUCAUAAGUACAAAUAUCGCAUCGUAGUUUCUUCACACAUCAAUGUCAUAGUCAAUAAAACUUAAUCAAAUUUACUGAGCAUUCAAUAAAAAUCGAUCGACCAUUGACUAUAUAUUUCUAGAAGAUAAAUUGACGCAACACCCAACCGCUAUGUGCUCGACAGAUUUCAAUCAGAUUUAUUCUUUGCGGCAAUUUGAUCUUUAACUGUUUUUUGCUCAACUUUUGUUAUUGGUAACUCAUCGUCGUCCUUAAAGUUUUCCAACAAGUGAAACAUAAUUGUACCGCAUAUGGAAGCCACAAAAAUAGCACUGAUAAAUCCAGCGAGAAAGAUGAUCACUGAGACGUUUUUCUUAUAACGCAACAUAUGCUGAAAUGAAAAGACAAAAGUUCAACUGUCGGUGUCAGCUCAAAACACGCAGUCAAAGUUCAUCUGAAUUGUUAGAAAUUCAACAAUAGUCUAUAGCGAUGUUAUAAAACUGUGAAAGUGUGUGUUUUCAGCCAUCUGAUUACUGUGAAAUGGCAUUCGUUAGAAAUGGUCAAAUUACUGCUAAAAUUGUAGAAGUUUGCACCUUUACAAAUACUUGUGCUUAAGCUAUAUUUUCAUAAACAUUUAGUCCUUCUCUUUUAAAAUGUUGGCUUGUACAGAUAGCAAUAAUUUAGCAUUAAAUAAAAUGUACAUAUAUAGCAAGUGUCGCCAAGCUUGUAUCUUACGCUCAUUUCGCUUUGAGUCUCUUCAAGAUAAAACUCACUAAAAUAAUAAGAAAACCAAAAUAUUUAUUUGAAUUAAAUGAGGCUCGAAAAUGGACACAAUA